CUACGGGCCGCAGCAGUGGGGAAUAUUGCACAAUGGAGGAAACUCUGAUGCAGCAACGCCGCGUGGAGGAUGACACUUUUCGGAGCGUAAACUCCUUUUAUAUAGGAAGAAGAUGACGGUACUAUAUGAAUAAGCGCCGGCUAACUCCGUGCCAGCAGCCGCGGUAAUACGGAGGGCGCAAGCGUUACUCGGAAUCACGGGGCGUAAAGAGCGUGUAGGCGGAUUAAAAAGUCAGAAGUGAAAUCCUAUAGCUUAACUAUAGAACUGCUUCUGAAACUCUUAAUCUAGAAUAUGGGAGAGGUAGAUGGAAUUUCUGGUGUAGGGGUAAAAUCCGUAGAGAUCAGAAGGAAUACCGAUUGCGAAGGCGAUCUACUAGAACAUUAUUGACGCUGAGACGCGAAAGCGUGGGGAGCAAACGGGAUUAGAUACCCUCGUAGUC
This 439-nucleotide ribosomal RNA is filed under the name uncultured bacterium. Its description in RNAcentral is "partial 16S ribosomal RNA". It matches the Rfam family "Bacterial small subunit ribosomal RNA", at positions 339 to 795 of the family's 1533-position model. The record is from RNAcentral.